AACGUAGGAGGCAAGCGUUAUCCGGAGUUACUGGGCGUAAAGAGUGCGUAGGCGGGCUUGUAAGUGGGUGGUGAAAGCCCUCGGCUAAACUGAGGGAGGACCGCUCAGACUGCAAGUCUAGAGGUGGAUAGAGGGGCGUGGAAUUCCGGGUGUAGCGGUGAAAUGUGUAGAGAUCCGGAGGAACACCAGUGGUGCAAACGGCGCCCUGGGUCCAUACUGACGCUGAGGCACGAAAGCGUGGGGAGCGAACGGG
RNAcentral lists this ribosomal RNA (253 nucleotides) under uncultured bacterium. RNAcentral describes it as "partial 16S ribosomal RNA". It matches the Rfam family "Bacterial small subunit ribosomal RNA", at positions 524 to 776 of the family's 1533-position model. The record is from RNAcentral.